CUCCUAUUUAAACCUGCUUCAGUGCUCUUCAUUGCGUGCUGUUGUAGGCCGGUACAAUUACUUUGAACAAAUUAGAGUGCUUAAAGCAGGCUCCAAAUGCCUGAAUAUUUUGUGCAUGGAAUAAUGAAAUAAGACCUCUGUUCUACUUUCAUUGGUUUUUAGAUCAAGAGGUAAUGAUUAAUAGAAGCAGUUUGGGGGCAUUAGUAUUACGACGCGAGAGGUGAAAUUCUUGGACCGUCGUAAGACUAACUUAAGCGAAAGCAUUUGCCAAAGAUGUUUUCAUUAAUCAAGAACGAAAGUUAGAGGUUCGAAGGCGAUCAGAUACCGCCCUAGUUCUAACCAUAAACGAUGCCAGCUAGCAAUUGGGUGUAGCUACUAUUAUGGCUCUCUCAGUCGCUUCCCGGGAAACCAAAGCUUUUGGGCUCCGGGGGAAGUAUGGUUGCAAAGCUGAAACUUAAAGGAAUUGACGGAAGGGCACCACCAGGAGUGGAGCCUGCGGCUUAAUUUGACGCAACACGGGAAAACUUACCAGGUCCGAACAUAAGCGUGUAAGACAGAUUGAUAGCUCUUUCUCGAAUCUAUGGGUGGUGGUGCAUGGCCGUUCUUAGUUCGUGGAGUGAUUUGUCUGGUUAAUUCCGAUAACGAACGAGACUCAAAUAUAUUAAAUAGAUGCUUUCAGGAUUAUGGUGUUUGAAGCUUUUAUAGCCUUCAUUCAUGAAUGCAGUAACAUGUGUGAGUGUUUGAAUGUGUUUAUAAAGGUGGAGCCGUACCUGUUGGUUUGUCCCAUUAUAAGGACACUAGCUUCUUAAAUGGACAAAUUGCGUCUAGCAAUAAUGAGAUUGAGCAAUAACAGGUCUGUGAUGCCCUUAGAUGUCCUGGGCUGCACGCGCGCUACAAUGAAAGUAUCAACGUGUAUUUCCUAGACCGAGAGGUCCGGGUAAACCGCUGAACCACUUUCAUGCUUGGGAUUGUGAACUGAAACUGUUCACAUGAACUUGGAAUUCCCAGUAAGUGUGAGUCAUUAACUCGCAUUGAUUACGUCCCUGCCCUUUGUACACACCGCCCGUCGCUACUACCGAUUGAAUUAUUUAGUGAGGUCUCCGGACGUGAUCACUGUAACGCCUUGCGUGUUACGGAUGUUUCGCAAAAGUUGACCGAACUUGAUUAUUUAGAGAAAGUAAAAGUC
Molecule: ribosomal RNA, 1186 nt
Filed under: metagenome
Description: SSU rRNA
Rfam family: Eukaryotic small subunit ribosomal RNA
Source: RNAcentral